GAUGGAGCUGAGAGAGAGAGAGAGAGAGAGAGAGAAACAUAGAGCGAGAGAGAGUGUGAUAGAGGUGAACGGAGGAGGAAGAGGUUAGAGAAGGGAUCCACAUAUGCAUACAAUUGAUACAGAUAUACCAUCGUCUUUAUAUACGUGUCGCGUUAUUCUUGCUGCUGCCGCGCGCGGUAUACUGAGCCGGCAUAACACGAACGGCCCGAGCGGAGAGCGCCUCAUAGGCUACAAUACGAUAACGCCGCUCUCAUAGAUUCGAUGUAGCCAGCCGAACGAACCAGACUACCGGAUACCUGCGCGACCAUCCUCCGCCGCCUUAUUGCGCUGACUAUUCGCGACAGGACAGGUUCGCGUACAUCUGUUCUUGUCAUAAGGAGUGAUUUAGGGCUGGUUGCGGGCAUUGAUCUACCCGCCGCGGAGGAUAUCGACCGUAGAACUGCGGAUCUCCCUUUAAAAAAUCCAAGAUCGAACGUGUUCCAUUGAGCAACAACGUUUCAAUGCCAUUUUUCAGGGUAAUGUUGUAUGAUUUGAGGUUAAGUUAAUGGAAUAAGGAGAUAGCAGAGGAUUUCGGUAAAGUUUAAAGGUGAAGUCGACACAUAGAUUGCUUUUAUGUAGUAAUGGUGUUCGACUGCUCUGUUUUCAAUUCUAUGGCGUCUGCGAUAUCGAUAUCGAUUACAUCGAUUUUAUUUGUGUAACAGAAUUUUUGGUAGUAUCGUUUAGUGAAUUAUCUUUUAUUGUACGUGUUUUACGUGAGUAGUGUAAUAUUUUAAAGUGUUCACAACUUAACCUGGAUCUAACCUAAAAUUCGAUUCAUGUUUAUGACAUCUCUGACUGAUCUUUUGAUUAUAUCCAUUGUUACACCCGAGUCAGAAGAGAGGUAGGCCUGGCCACGUUGGUACCGCCUACUAGAGUGAUCCCGACAAGGAAGGACUUGACCAACCUCGUCCUGCCCCUCCAGCACGAUCCUCUACUCCUGGACUCAACCUGACGGGAUCACGUUCUGUGCCGUCGUUCCGAUUAAUUCUUUCGCUGUAAAGGGUGCACUCUUUGGCUGAUUCACCUGUCGCAAAGCGUAUUGGAGAUCGUUGAUGCCGUGGAAAGAGAAAUGGCGGCGGUUCAGGUUUAUGCAACCCAGAUAUAUUUAUCAUUCUUCCAGAAGAGUAAUUGCAAGUUUGGAGUAUCUACACGUCCAUCUACUCUUCCAGUGCAGAACUUGUCGAUUCAUUUAAAAUCCCUGGAGAAUGAGUUGGCCCAUUCAUAAGAGAUUGAAGAAUGCAUUUUCCUUGCUGCGGCGGCUUUUAAAAAGUCACUGGGUAUAUCGAGGGGGCCUAUAUACGUAUGUAAGCAUCGCAAGGCCCCCCACGGUGGGAUAAAGGCAGGCUCCACGACAGUAGCCAUGUACACCAUGGGUUAGACAAUGCCGCUCGCAUUAAUACACUUCAUAUUAGUCCGUUUUAAUGCGUGUUUGCCGGCCAUUGUGAAUGAGCGACACUGUUUAUCACCGACCCCCGUACGGCCCCCUACCCCCUGGGUCGGGGGGGAGGGCGCAUUUGUCUCGAGCCUGCUGGUGAUCGGGGGGAUAACAAAUCCGUAUACGCCGUAUUCAGUUUUUCAAUUCCUUCGUUCCCGUAUAUCUGGUUCACUCGAUUCCUACCGACCUCUACUUUCCACCAAACGUAAGUUGGUAUCGUCACUGGAGUAUGAAAAUUAGAAUUUCGAAGAGACGAUGAUUUAAGGGAUGGUCCUUUACUUGGAAGAUCUCAUCGUUGAAUUUUGGAUAAGAUUUUGUCAGUGUUCUUUUCCAAUUGGUUCUAACCCUCGAGCAACCGCAAUGAUUCCGUACAACUUCAAACGAAAUUUUGCAUGAUACGUAUGAAUAUGUUUCAUCUGAUUAUGUUAGCACAAAGGAAAAUUGAUUUUCUUUUAACAAGUUUAUAAAAAUCUGUAUUAGAUGAGUUAAUUGUCGGAUUGUCGAAGUCCAAUGGUAUUUUUAAUUUAACUUAAAAACAUAGAAACUGCUUCUACGAUCCAAUUUUGCGAUUAAUGUCGAUAUGUAAAUAG
Long non-coding RNA from Bombus pascuorum, 2064 nucleotides. RefSeq lists it as uncharacterized. The transcript has 4 exons. NCBI's taxonomy places the organism in Eukaryota, Metazoa, Arthropoda, Insecta, Hymenoptera, Apidae. The record is from RefSeq and is a predicted model, not a curated record.